RNAcentral lists this unclassified non-coding RNA (254 nucleotides) under Rhizophydium sp. RNAcentral's name for it is "partial contains 5.8S ribosomal RNA, internal transcribed spacer 2, and large subunit ribosomal RNA". The stretch from base 1 to 52 matches the Rfam family "5.8S ribosomal RNA", at positions 103 to 154 of the family's 154-position model. RNAcentral also lists the same sequence under 1 other name. Lineage: Eukaryota; Fungi; Chytridiomycota; Chytridiomycetes; Rhizophydiales; Rhizophydiaceae. The record is from RNAcentral.
AACGCACAUUGCGCCCUUUGGUAUUCCGAAGGGCAUGCCUGUUCGAGCGUCAUUAUCAACCAUCAAGCCUGGCUUGUCGUUGGACCUCUUGUCGGCGAAACACCCGACAGGUCCGAAAGAUAGUGACGGUGUCGUGUUCGACCCUAGAUGCAACGAGCUUUCAUAGCACGCAUUGAAGUGGUCGGCCGCCCCGGUCUCAACCAUCAUUUUCAAAGGUUGACCUCGGAUCAGGUAGGAAUACCCGCUGAACUUAA